CCUACGGGAGGCAGCAGUAGGGAAUUUUCCACAAUGGACGAAAGUCUGAUGGAGCAACGCCGCGUGAGGGACGACGGCCUUCGGGUUGUAAACCUCUUUUAGUAGGGAAGAAGCGAAAGUGACGGCACCUGCAGAAAAAGCACCGGCUAACUCGUGCCAGCAGCCGCGGUUAA
Molecule: ribosomal RNA, 173 nt
Filed under: uncultured bacterium
Lineage: Bacteria
Description: partial 16S ribosomal RNA
Rfam family: Bacterial small subunit ribosomal RNA
Source: RNAcentral